RNAcentral lists this transfer-messenger RNA (124 nucleotides) under Rhodospirillales bacterium. RNAcentral describes it as "partial transfer-messenger RNA". It matches the Rfam family "Alphaproteobacteria transfer-messenger RNA", at positions 196 to 355 of the family's 355-position model. From Rfam's summary of the family: Bacterial tmRNA, also known as 10Sa RNA or SsrA, is named for its dual tRNA and mRNA-like properties. Its role is to liberate the mRNA from a stalled ribosome. The record is from RNAcentral. Lineage: Bacteria; Pseudomonadati; Pseudomonadota; Alphaproteobacteria; Rhodospirillales.
GCAUAGUAUCCACCGUUAUCGGGCUAAACACUAUCAAGUGCCAACGACAACGUUGCUCUUGCCGCUGCGGCUUAACCCGUAAGCGCGGUUCGGGGGGGCACCGGGCAACAGAAGCCCCCCCACU